RNAcentral lists this ribosomal RNA (486 nucleotides) under uncultured bacterium. RNAcentral describes it as "partial 16S ribosomal RNA". It matches the Rfam family "Bacterial small subunit ribosomal RNA", at positions 30 to 507 of the family's 1533-position model. The record is from RNAcentral.
AUUGAACGCUGGCGGCAUGCCUUACACAUGCAAGUCGAACGGCAGCACGGGUGCUUGCACCUGGUGGCGAGUGGCGAACGGGUGAGUAAUACAUCGGAACAUGUCCUGUAGUGGGGGAUAGCCCGGCGAAAGCCGGAUUAAUACCGCAUACGAUCUACGGAUGAAAGCGGGGGACCUUCGGGCCUCGUGCUAUAGGGUUGGCCGAUGGCUGAUUAGCUAGUUGGUGGGGUAAAGGCCUACCAAGGCGACGAUCAGUAGCUGGUCUGAGAGGACGACCAGCCACACUGGGACUGAGACACGGCCCAGACUCCUACGGGAGGCAGCAGUGGGGAAUUUUGGACAAUGGGCGAAAGCCUGAUCCAGCAAUGCCGCGUGUGUGAAGAAGGCCUUCGGGUUGUAAAGCACUUUUGUCCGGAAAGAAAUCCUUGGCCCUAAUACGGUCGGGGGAUGACGGUACCGGAAGAAUAAGCACCGGCUAACUACGUG